Molecule: ribosomal RNA, 310 nt
Filed under: uncultured bacterium
Lineage: Bacteria
Description: bacterial SSU rRNA
Rfam family: Bacterial small subunit ribosomal RNA
Source: RNAcentral
GACGAACGCUGGCGGCGUGCUUAACACAUGCAAGUCGAACGAUGAAGCCGCAGCUUGCUGUGGUGGAUUAGUGGCGAACGGGCGAGUAACACGUGAGUAACCUGUCCUUUUCUUUGGGAUAACGGCUGGAAACGACUGCUAAUACCGCAUGAUACUUUUUGGGGGCAUCCCCGAAAAGUCAAAGCUUUAUGUGCUGAAAGAUGGUCUCGCGUCUGAUUAGCUAGUUGGUGAGGUAAUGGCUCACCAAGGCGACGAUCAGUAGCCGGUCUGAGAGGAUGAACGGCCACAUUGGGACUGAGAUACGGCCCAG